GACGAACGCUGGCGGCGUGCUUAACACAUGCAAGUCGAGCGGAAAGGCCCUUCGGGGUACUCGAGCGGCGAACGGGUGAGUAACACGUGAGUAACCUGCCCUGGACUUUGGGAUAACCCUCGGAAACGGGGGCUAAUACCGGAUAUGACCAUUGGUUGCAUGACUGGUGGUGGAAAGGUUUUUCUGGUCUGGGAUGGGCUCGCGGCCUAUCAGCUUGUUGGUGGGGUGAUGGCCUACCAAGGCGACGACGGGUAGCCGGCCUGAGAGGGCGACCGGCCACACUGGGACUGAGACACGGCCCAGACUCCUACGGGAGGCAGCAGUGGGGAAUAUUGCACAAUGGGCGGAAGCCUGAUGCAGCGACGCCGCGUGA
RNAcentral lists this ribosomal RNA (373 nucleotides) under uncultured bacterium. RNAcentral describes it as "bacterial SSU rRNA". It matches the Rfam family "Bacterial small subunit ribosomal RNA", at positions 28 to 404 of the family's 1533-position model. The record is from RNAcentral.